GGCGGACGUUUGUCGGGGGUAAUUCAAGACACUAUUUAUUUAUGUUGGGUUCGUGUCCUUGGUUGGUUUGGGACCUGGAUGUGUUUUUGCGGUUUUCACUUCGGCGAAAAUUCGCCUCACACACACUCAUGCGUUUUGGCAUCUGUCAAAAUCGGCCAUUGUCAAAAUUAUUGCUGCUUGAGAAAAACCGCGUGCACGUCGUGCUCGUUCCGCGUCCGCAUCCGCCCGGGAAUUAUCUUUUUUUUUGUGUUGCUUGUUCCGAGUGCCGUUACCGUUACCGUGUCCGUGUCCGUGUUCCGUGUUCGGAGUGUCCGUUUAUGUGUUUCGAGUGAAGUGGUGAAGUGUCUAGGAGUGAACUCUCGCGAUAAUUUUGGUGGUCUCGUUCGGGGAAAAAGAGGCGAGGAGGAGGACGGUCCGAACAUCCGGGACGUUGGCCGAGUUCAAGAACAGCUGGAGAAUCCAUCGGAGACGGACGACCACCUCGGGCUGCUGUUGAACCUGCCGGAAGAGGCGAGGAGGAGGACGGUCCGAACUUCCGGGACGUUGGCCGAGUUCAAGAACAGCUGGAGAAUCCAUCGGAGACGGACGACCACCUCGGGCUGCUGCUGAACCUGCCGGGAGAGGCGAGGAGGAGGAGGACGGUCAACACAGCCGGAACCGUGGCCAAGUUCAAGAACUUAUUCUAAAUCCGAUUCCAAGAACAUCUCCUUGGCCCCCUCGAAAAGCUGAACCUGCUGGAAGAGGCGAGGAGGAGGACGGUCCGAACAUCCGGGACGUUGGCCGAGUUCAAGAACAGCUGGAUAAUCCAUCGGAGACGGACAACCACCUCGGGCUGCUGUUGAACCUGCCGGAAGAGGCGAGGAGGAGGACGGUCCGAACUUCCGGGACGUUGGCCGAGUUCAAGAAAAGCUGGAGAGUCCAUCGGCGACGGACGACCACCUCGGGCUGCUGUUGAACCUGCCGGAAGAGGCGAGGAGGAGGACGGUCAACACAGCCGGGACGUUGGCCGAGUUCAAGAGCAGCUGGAAAGUCCAUCGGAGACGGAUGACCACCUCGGGCUGCUGUUGAACCUGCCGGAAGAGGCGAGGAGGAGGACGGUCCGAACUUCCGGGACGUUGGCCGAGUUCAAGAAAAGCUGGAGAGUCCAUCGGCGACGGACGACCACCUCGGGCUGCUGUUGAACCUGCCGGAAGAGGCGAGGAGGAGGACGGUCAACACAGCCGGGACGUUGGCCGAGUUCAAGAGCAGCUGGAAAGUCCAUCGGAGACGGAUGACCACCUCGGGCUGCUGCUGAACCUGCCGGGAGAGGCGAGGAGGAGGAGGACGGUCAACACAGCCGGAACCGUGGCCAAGUUCAAGAACCUAUUCUAAAUCCGAUUCCAAGAACAUCUCCUUGGCCCCCUCGAAAAGCUGAACCUGCUGGAAGAGGCGAGGAGGAGGACGGUCCGAACAUCCGGGACGUUGGCCGAGUUCAAGAACAGCUGGAGAAUCCAUCGGAGACGGACGACCACCUCGGGCUGCUGUUGAACCUGCCGGAAGAGGCGAGGAGGAGGACGGUCCGAACUUCCGGGACGUUGGCCGAGUUCAAGAACAGCUGGAGAAUCCAUCGGAGACGGACGACCACCUCGGGCUGCUGCUGAACCUGCCGGGAGAGGCGAGGAGGAGGAGGACGGUCAACACAGCCGGAACCGUGGCCAAGUUCAAGAACCUAUUCUAAAUCCGAUUCCAAGAACAUCUCCUUGGCCCCCUCGAAAAGCUGAACCUGCUGGAAGAGGCGAGGAGGAGGACGGUCCGAACAUCCGGGACGUUGGCCGAGUUCAAGAACAGCUGGAGAAUCCAUCGGAGACGGACGACCACCUCGGGCUGCUGUUGAACCUGCCGGAAGAGGCGAGGAGGAGGACGGUCCGAACUUCCGGGACGUUGGCCGAGUUCAAGAACAGCUGGAGAAUCCAUCGGAGACGGACGACCACCUCGGGCUGCUGCUGAACCUGCCGGGAGAGGCGAGGAGGAGGAGGACGGUCAACACAGCCGGAACCGUGGCCAAGUUCAAGAACCUAUUCUAAAUCCGAUUCCAAGAACAUCUCCUUGGCCCCCUCGAAAAGCUGAACCUGCUGGAAGAGGCGAGGAGGAGGACGGUCCGAACAUCCGGGACGUUGGCCGAGUUCAAGAACAGCUGGAGAAUCCAUCGGAGACGGACGACCACCUCGGGCUGCUGUUGAACCUGCCGGAAGAGGCGAGGAGGAGGACGGUCCGAACUUCCGGGACGUUGGCCGAGUUCAAGAACAGCUGGAGAAUCCAUCGGAGACGGACGACCACCUCGGGCUGCUGCUGAACCUGCCGGGAGAGGCGAGGAGGAGGAGGACGGUCAACACAGCCGGAACCGUGGCCAAGUUCAAGAACCUAUUCUAAAUCCGAUUCCACCCCAUCCGAGACCACCUCGGGCUGCUGUUGAACCUGCCGGAAGAGGCGAAGAGGAGGACGGUCGACACAUCCGGGACGUUGGCCGAGUUCAAGAAAAGCUGGAGAGUCCAUCGGCGACGGAUGACCACCUCGGGCUGCUGCUGAACCUGCCGGAAGAUGCGAAGAGGAGGACGGUCAACACAGCCGGGACGUUGGACGAGUUCAAGAACAGCUGGAGAAUCCAUCGGAGACGGACGACCAGCUCGGGCUGCUGUUGAACAUGCCGGAAGAGGUGAGGAGGAGGACGGUCUGAACAUCCGGGACGUUGGCCGAGUUCAUGAAAAGCUGGAGAGUCCAUCGGAGACGGAUGACCACCUCGGGCUGCUGCUGAACCUGCCGGAAGAUGCGAAGAGGAGGACGGUCAACACAGCCGGGACGUUGGCCGAGUUCAAGAGCAGCUGGAAAGUCCAUCGGAGACGGAUGACCACCUCGGGCUGCUGCUGAACCUGCCGGGAGAGGCGAGGAGGAGGAGGACGGUCAACACAGCCGGAACCGUGGCCAUGUUCAAGAACCGAUUCUAAAUCCGAUUCCACCCCAUCCGAGACCACCUCGGGCUGCUGUUGAACCUGCCGGAAGAGGCGAAGAGGAGGACGGUCGACACAUCCGGGACGUUGGACGAGUUCAAGAGCAGCUGGAGAGUCGAUCGGAGACGGACGAGCACCUGGGGCUGCUGCUGAACCUGCCGAAAGAGGCGAGGAGAAGGACGGUUUGCACAGCCGGGAUUGACAGACUUGAGACUUUUCCGGAGACGGUUGACCACUUUCGGUUGUGGUUACUGAAUCCGCCGGAAAAAGCAAAUUCAAAGACGGUGCGCUGCUUAUUCAUUAACCCUAUUUUUUACGUGAUAUUUUUACAUUAAUAAACUUUAAUUGUUACGCUGAGUGUA
Molecule: long non-coding RNA, 3346 nt
Organism: Culex pipiens pallens (northern house mosquito)
Lineage: Eukaryota; Metazoa; Arthropoda; Insecta; Diptera; Culicidae
Exons: 8
Source: RefSeq, a predicted model, not a curated record